GAGGGUAUAAUUCAGUGGUAGAGGGUGUGCUUAGUGUGUACAAGGUCCUGGGUUCAAUCCCAGUGCCUCUA
This is a transfer RNA of Camelus ferus (Wild Bactrian camel), 71 nucleotides long. It matches the Rfam family "tRNA". Rfam says of the family: Transfer RNA (tRNA) molecules are approximately 80 nucleotides in length. Their secondary structure includes four short double-helical elements and three loops (D, anti-codon, and T loops). Further hydrogen bonds mediate the characteristic L-shaped molecular structure. tRNAs have two regions of fundamental functional importance: the anti-codon, which is responsible for specific mRNA codon recognition, and the 3' end, to which the tRNAs corresponding amino acid is attached (by aminoacyl-tRNA synthetases). tRNAs cope with the degeneracy of the genetic code in two manners: having more than one tRNA (with a specific anti-codon) for a particular amino acid; and 'wobble' base-pairing, i.e. permitting non-standard base-pairing at the 3rd anti-codon position. NCBI's taxonomy places the organism in Eukaryota, Metazoa, Chordata, Mammalia, Artiodactyla, Camelidae. The record is from Rfam.